RNAcentral lists this ribosomal RNA (585 nucleotides) under Mniusa incrassata. Its description in RNAcentral is "partial 16S ribosomal RNA". It matches the Rfam family "Bacterial large subunit ribosomal RNA", at positions 1923 to 2734 of the family's 2925-position model. Lineage: Eukaryota; Metazoa; Arthropoda; Insecta; Coleoptera; Staphylinidae. The record is from RNAcentral.
UUAAAUGGCCGCAGUAUUUUGACUGUGCAAAGGUAGCAUAAUCAUUAGUUUCUUAAUUAGAAGCUGGAAUGAAAGGUUGAACGAAAAAAUAACUGUCUCUUUAUAAAUUUAUUUGAAUUUUAUAUUUAAGUUAAAAAGCUUAAAUAAAUUUAAAAGACGAGAAGACCCUAUAGAGUUUUAUAUAGAUUUUUAUAGUAAUUUAUUUUUAAUUAUAAAAAUUUUAUUAUAAUUUAUAUUUAAUUGGGGUGAUUAAAAAAUUUAAUAAACUUUUUUUUUAUUAAACAUUUAUAUAUGAUUAAUUGAUCCAUUAUUAAUGAUUAAAAGAUUAAAUUACCUUAGGGAUAACAGCGUAAUUUCUUUUUAGAGUUCUAAUCGAUAAAGAAGUUUGCGACCUCGAUGUUGGAUUAAAAUAUAAUUUUGGUGUAGAAGCUAAAAUUUUUAGGUCUGUUCGACCUUUAAAAUUUUACAUGAUCUGAGUUUAAACCGGUGUAAGCCAGGUUGGUUUCUAUCUUUAAAUAGAUUAAAAUAUUUUAGUACGAAAGGACCAAAUAUUUAGAAUAUUUUUUAAAUAUUGAAUAAUAAUAA